GAUUGAUUACAAUGUUACAUCGAUUAUCAUCAUUUCGAUUUUCAUUACGAUUACAUUGGAAAAUUUGUUUUUAUUUGGAAAAAUUUCAUACGAAACAACCAUAUGGAUUUUCAUAUGGUCGUUUUGGUUUGAUCACUAUGAUUGGUUUUGUUUGGUUUCUACUUAUUAAUGCCAAAAUACUGAUGAUGGUCUAUAAACUGGCCAUACAGAUUCCAGAUCGAUGAUGUUGGCCACUGGAUUAAUUUGUUAAAUUAUGAAUUUAUAAUUGUAAAAAAAAUAACUAAAUAAAUUUUUGCAAAUUUCA
Non-coding RNA from Dermatophagoides farinae (American house dust mite), 304 nucleotides. The record is from RefSeq and is a predicted model, not a curated record. NCBI's taxonomy places the organism in Eukaryota, Metazoa, Arthropoda, Arachnida, Sarcoptiformes, Pyroglyphidae.